CGCGCUGAACUUAAGCAUAUCAAUAAGCGGAGGAAAAGAAACUAACAAGGAUUCCCCUAGUAACUGCGAGUGAAGCGGGAAAAGCUCAAAUUUAAAAUCUGGCGGUCCUCUGGCUGUCCGAGUUGUAAUCUGGAGAAGCGUUUUCCGCGUCGGACCGUGUACAAGUCUUCUGGAAUGGAGCGUCAUAGAGGGUGAGAAUCCCGUCUUUGACACGGACUGCCAGUGCAUUGUGAUGCGCUCUCGAAGAGUCGAGUUGUUUGGGAAUGCAGCUCAAAAUGGGUGGUAAAUUCCAUCUAAAGCUAAAUAUUGGGGAGAGACCGAUAGCGAACAAGUACCGUGAGGGAAAGAUGAAAAGAACUUUGGAAAGAGAGUUAAACAGUACGUGAAAUUGCUGAAAGGGAAACGCUUGAAGUCAGUCGCGUCGCUCAGGACUCAGCCUUGCUUUUGCUUGGUGUACUUCCUGUUCGAUGGGUCAGCAUCAAUUUCGAUCGGUGGAUAAAGGCUUAGAGAAUGUGGCAUCUUCGGGUGUGUUAUAGCUCUUGGUCGCAUACAUCGGUUGGGAUUGAGGAACUCAGCACGCCGCAAGGCCGGGUACUUGUACCACGUUCGUGCUUAGGAUGCUGGCAUAAUGGCUUUAAUCGACCCGUCUUGAAACACGG
Molecule: ribosomal RNA, 659 nt
Filed under: uncultured fungus
Lineage: Eukaryota; Fungi
Description: eukaryotic LSU rRNA
Rfam family: Eukaryotic large subunit ribosomal RNA
Source: RNAcentral